Molecule: ribosomal RNA, 506 nt
Filed under: uncultured bacterium
Lineage: Bacteria
Description: partial 16S ribosomal RNA
Rfam family: Bacterial small subunit ribosomal RNA
Source: RNAcentral
AUUGAACGCUGGCGGCAGGCCUAACACAUGCAAGUCGGACGGUAGCACAGAGGAGCUUGCUCCUCGGGUGACGAGUGGCGGACGGGUGAGUAAUGUCUGGGGAUCUGCCCGAUAGAGGGGGAUAACCACUGGAAACGGUGGCUAAUACCGCAUAACGUCGCAAGACCAAAGAGGGGGACCUUCGGGCCUCCCACUAUCGGAUGAACCCAGAUGGGAUUAGCUAGUAGGCGGGGUAACGGCCCACCUAGGCGACGAUCCCUAGCUGGUCUGAGAGGAUGACCAGCCACCCUGGAACUGAGACACGGUCCAGACUCCUACGGGAGGCAGCAGUGGGGAAUAUUGCACAAUGGGCGCAAGCCUGAUGCAGCCAUGCCGCGUGUAUGAAGAAGGCCUUCGGGUUGUAAAGUACUUUCAGCGGGGAGGAAGGCGAUGUGGUUAAUAACCGCGUCGAUUGACGUUACCCGCAGAAGAAGCACCGGCUAACUCCGUGCCAGCCGCCGCAGUAA